RNAcentral lists this ribosomal RNA (460 nucleotides) under uncultured bacterium. RNAcentral describes it as "partial 16S ribosomal RNA". It matches the Rfam family "Bacterial small subunit ribosomal RNA", at positions 338 to 795 of the family's 1533-position model. The record is from RNAcentral.
CCUACGGGAGGCAGCAGUGAGGAAUAUUGGUCAAUGGGCGAGAGCCUGAACCAGCCAAGUCGCGUGAAGGAUGAAGGACCUAUGGUUUGUAAACUUCUUUUAUAUGGGAAUAAAGUGUUGAACGUGUGCGUUUUUGUAUGUACCAUAUGAAUAAGCAUCGGCUAACUCCGUGCCAGCAGCCGCGGUAAUACGGAGGAUGCGAGCGUUAUCCGGAUUUAUUGGGUUUAAAGGGAGCGUAGGUGGUUUAUUAAGUCAGCUGUGAAAGUUUGCGGCUCAACCGUAAAAUUGCCGUUGAAACUGGCUGACUUGAGUACAGGAGAGGUGGGCGGAAUGCGUGGUGUAGCGGUGAAAUGCAUAGAUAUCACGAAGAACUCCGAUUGCGAAGGCAGCUCACUGGACUGUAACUGACACUGAGGUUCGAAAGCGUGGGUAUCAAACAGGAUUAGAUACCCUGGUAGUC